GAUCAAGCUACAAAGGGCUCACGGUGGAUACCUUGGCACACAGAGCCGAUGAAGGACGUGGUUACCUGCGAUAAGUCUCGGGGAGCUGGAAACACGCUUUGAUCCGGGAAUUUCCGAAUGGGGCAACCCCUAGAACGGUCCGCUGAAUCCAUAGGCGGACGCGAGCCAACCCAGCGAACUGAAA
Molecule: ribosomal RNA, 184 nt
Filed under: Synechococcus sp. KORDI-71
Lineage: Bacteria; Bacillati; Cyanobacteriota; Cyanophyceae; Synechococcales; Synechococcaceae
Description: partial 23S ribosomal RNA
Rfam family: Bacterial large subunit ribosomal RNA
Source: RNAcentral